This 339-nucleotide unclassified non-coding RNA is filed under the name uncultured fungus. RNAcentral's name for it is "partial contains 5.8S ribosomal RNA and internal transcribed spacer 2". The stretch from base 1 to 133 matches the Rfam family "5.8S ribosomal RNA", at positions 22 to 154 of the family's 154-position model. The record is from RNAcentral. Lineage: Eukaryota; Fungi.
UGGUUCUGGCAUCGAUGAAGAACGCAGCGAAAUGCGAUAAGUAAUGUGAAUUGCAGAAUUCAGUGAAUCAUCGAAUCUUUGAACGCACAUUGCGCCCAUUGGUAUUCUAGUGGGCAUGCCUGUUCGAGCGUCAUUUCAACCCUUAAGCCUAGCUUAGUGUUGGGAGACUGCCUAAUACGCAGCUCCUCAAACCCAGUGGCAGAGUUUUUACGUACUCUGAGCGCAGUAAUUCUUUUUCUCGCUUCUGAAAACGUCUAGACGAUAGCCAAAAACCGCAUGCAGCUUGCUGCAGCAACUUUUUUAAUGGUUGACCUCGGAUCAGGUAGGAAUACCCGCUGA